Molecule: RNA transcript, 2328 nt
Organism: Otolemur garnettii (small-eared galago)
Lineage: Eukaryota; Metazoa; Chordata; Mammalia; Primates; Galagidae
Gene name: 1-acyl-sn-glycerol-3-phosphate acyltransferase epsilon pseudogene
Exons: 1
Source: RefSeq, a predicted model, not a curated record
CAUGGGGCGUGAGCGCUGCUGAGCUGCGGAGCCGCGGAGCGCCGCCACUUCCCCUGUCCUCCCGCCGCGAGCCGCGCACAGCUCCGCACUCGCUCGCUCGUCUCGCGACGGCGGCGCGGCCCAUGCGGCCGGGGGCGGAGGUCGGGAGCCGGCAGCGGGCUUGGCGUCUCAGCUGCCGGGGCUCGGGCGGCGAGGGGCCGCCGGCUCGCCGCGCCUGAGGGCCCGGGGCGGGGAACGCAGGCGGCCUCGGCCGCGGAGCCGGGAAGAUGCUGCUGUCCCUGGUGCUCCACACGUACUCUAUGCGCUACCUGCUGCCGGGCAUGGUGCUCCUGGGCACGGCGCCCACCUACGUGCUGGCCUGGGGGGUCUGGCGGCUGCUGUCCGCCUUCCUGCCCGCGCGUUUCUACCAGGCGGUGGACGACCGGCUCUACCGCAUCUACCAGAACAUGGUGCUCUUCUUCUUCGAGAACUACACCGGGGUCCAGAUAUUCCUAUAUGGAGAUUUGCCAAAAAAUAAAGAAAAUGUAAUAUAUUUAGCAAAUCAUCAAAGCACAGUUGACUGGAUUAUUGCCGACAUGUUGGCCUCUAGGCAGGAUGCUCUUGGACAUGUGCGCUAUGUGCUGAAAGAUGGGUUAAAGUGGCUUCCUUUGUAUGGUUGUUAUUUUUCUCAGCAUGGAGGAAUCUAUGUAAAGCGAAGUGCCAAAUUUAAUGAAAGAGAAAUGAGAAACAAACUACAGAGCUACGUGGAUGCAGGAACUCCCAUGUAUCUUGUGAUUUUCCCAGAAGGUACGAGGUAUAAUCCAGAACAAACAAAAAUCCUUUCAACUAGUCAGGCAUUUGCAGCUGAACAAGGCCUUGCAGUAUUAAAAUAUGUGCUGACACCACGAAUAAAGGCAACUUAUGUUGCUUUUGAUGCUAUGAAGAAUUACUUAGAUGCAGUUUAUGAUGUUACAGUGGUUUAUGAAGGGAAAGGUGAUAGAGGGCAGCGAAAAGAGCCCCCCUCCAUGACUGAAUUUCUCUGCAAAGAAUGUCCAAAAGUUCAUAUUCACGUUGAUCGUAUAGACAAAAAGGAUGUCCCAGAACAGCAAGAAUGUAUGAGAAGAUGGCUUCAUGAGCGUUUUGAAAUAAAAGAUAAGAUGCUUAUAGAAUUCUAUGAUUCACCAGAUCCAGAAAGAAGAAACAAGUUUCCUGGGGAAAGUGUUAAUUCCAAAUUAAGUAUCAAGAAGACUUUACCAUCAGUAUUGAUCUUAAGUGGUUUGACUGCGGGCAUGCUUAUGACUGAGACUGGCAGGAAACUGUACGUGAACACGUGGAUGUACGGCACCUUGCUGGGCUGCCUGUGGGUCACUGUCAAGGCGUAGGCAGGGAGCUGUCUCCAAGGAGGGCUGUGCUGCACUGUCUGUCUUUGGCACCUACACAUUAUAUCAAAUUGUUUCCUGGAAGUGUAAAUAAAGCCUUGUUGAUUGAACAUUGGAUAAAAAUAGAAUUUGUGACUAUAGCCACUAUGCAGUUGGUCUUGGGCAUGGUUUUGUAACUUUAGCUCUGGAGCUCCCGGAAAGGAUAAAAAGCUAAACAGAAUUUCUGCUGUUCUUCACAUUUCCCAUGAACUAAUGACAACUUCAGAAGCCUAGUAGGAUUGUAUAAUUUGUUACUGUUUUGUAACUCAGAUGGCUGUAUUUUUUAACAUUAAUUUGCAACAUAUUUCACUAUAUUUGUUAUUUUUAAUUUGUUAUAACUUGGCAGCUCUAAACUUUUAUCACUGAGGUAUUUAGUAUCUUACAGCUAGGCAAUAUUUCACUUUUUGCUUAAUUUCUGCAAGUCAAUGAAAGAAGAUGUAUUUAAGUAUUGAAAUGUUUAAAGAAAAAGGCAAAAAAUGUUCAUGAGAGAAAGCUCUGUUUAGUGCAUGUUUUUAUUGUAUUAGCUGGUUUUACUCAUUUUAUAUUUCCAAAAUAACAUUUCUAAUAUUUAUUGAAAUUGCUUAAUUUGCUCACCCUGUACUCUACACAAGAAUAAUGUAUAAAAUAUGAGAAGUUCAAGUUAAAAUCUUGCCUGAUUCAUUGUAGCAGAACUUUAAAUUGCCUAGCCUUUUAAAUAUUUAAGCUACUCUAAGUACUUCCCAACAUCAGUGCCAUAAGUGCUUGAAAACAUUAAGGUUUUCUUUUUAUGUUACAUCAAAUCAGUGUGAAUCUUUGUUGGACCCCCUGAGUUCACAGGUAUUCGAGGUGAUGGGAGCCGACUAGAUUUACUAGCAUGUGCCUUUCACCCACUUUUCUUUGAUUUAGCAAAAUAUUUCUUUCAGAAGUCACUUGUAUGUCACCAAGGUGGAGU